Long non-coding RNA from Polistes dominula (European paper wasp), 1916 nucleotides. RefSeq lists it as uncharacterized. Lineage: Eukaryota; Metazoa; Arthropoda; Insecta; Hymenoptera; Vespidae. The record is from RefSeq and is a predicted model, not a curated record.
UUCUGAAAAAAAAGAGAAGUGAUCUUCGAAGGGCAAAAAAAAAAUGAAGCAAUCAAACCCCUAGAUAAUCAGAAUUAUUUUCUCAACUGUAAAAUUAUUUUCGUGGUGUUCACGAACCGCGCGAAAAUAAUUGGAAAGUCCCGCGCUUUUGUGCAUCGCAUUAUUAUCGCGAUGCAACGUAGCCACGAUGACUACUGACACGUCGGCAAAUUAUCUGACGAUUACACCGAGAAAAUUCGCAGGGAGUUGGACGCGAAACUCAGAUAUUAGAACGCUCGUGUUUCCAACUAAAUUAUUACCUUUAGAAUUAUUACUCACUUACGUAAUCGGCUCAUUGACAUUCAUUGUUUCAGACUUCUUUUGUUUUGUUUUUUUAUUGUUUAUAUUUUUAAAUCUUUCAUUAUCAAUAAGAGAUGACAAAAAAAAUAAUAAUAAUAAUAUUUUUCCUCAUUGACACAGUGACACAAUGCUAUUACAAUAAUAAUGUAAAUUUUUGAUCAAUGAUUCACGGGUAAACAGAGCGACCAAAUAAAAUUAACUAAAUUGAUAAUUAAAAGUUACUUUUACGUCUUAUAAGUCGUCAGCUCGUUAAAAUCAACUUCCGCCCUCUUUCAUCCAAGUGAAACGCUUUUUUAACGAGAUCCGUAUUCGAGAUGAAAGCCAUUUUUCCCAUACAUACUAUCCGUAUACAAUACUUUUCGCAUCAGAAAAGAUGUUUCGAUUCUGAUAGGCAUCCUGAAAUUGUGCUCGCUUGCAUAAUAAACUUUUCUCAAUUCUUUCAUCAUUUUCCUAUCAGACAGAUAAUAACAAAAAAAAAAAAAAGUAUCUCGUAGUCAUAAGAUUGCUACGAUUACUUUACUUAUUACCUGGCUUCUUUACUAUUUGUUUUUUUUUUCCUUUUAUUCCUAUACAUAAUAUUAACGAACUUGUACUUUAGAAAGGAUGUAUUCUUGGAACGAAUGUAUACCUUCACCAGAGGAAAGGACUCUACAUUAGAAAUUACGAGAAGUUCGUGACGAAAUAAUAUCUACUGAAAUGGAAUUCUUCGACUCCUCGGAAAUUGCGUAUCUCAAAGAAAGUAAUAGCGGUCCCACCGUGCGAAGAAAGAAAGUAGAUUGUACACGCCAGUAGUAAAUAUCGCAUGAGAAAGAACUUCUAUUCUUUUAAAAUGAUAUGGGAACCCUUUCCUAUGAGAAUUAAUCAAAAUCCCUUCUCCUGAGGCAAAUGGUGCCUCGAGUUUCGCUUGAAACUUGUUUUCAUCGUAUGAUUGGAGAGACAGAGGAGAAAGGAUGAUGACCGGACCCAUUUUCGAAGCCUGAGGCUAACAUCACAAAAAGGAGGACUUGAGGAUAAUCAAAAAGUGUCGAUUCGAAAGAAAAAGUACAUUUUAACAUUUGACAAGCUGUUGAUUAAAUCGAAUUUUAAUUUCUAUAAUAUGAUCGAUCUAUUUCGAAAUAAAAAUAAUUUCAGAUAAAUGGACGAUUGUAUUUAUUGUUAUCGAAGAUCUUAUUUAAGAAACGAUUUAACAAGAGUCAUAAAAAAAGACCAUAAAUCCAUUCGAUAAUGGGUAAAAGGAUAUUGACUUUUGACGAUAGGAAAAAACAAGAAAAACAUUUCUUCUAUUCGAUUCUUUUCUCUUCUAUCCACAAAGUGAGCGUUUUUCUUGGCAAGUAAGAUUGUUCAGCGAGGCACUUCGCCGGUGAAUGGAAUCUAACGUCCGAUACUUUCGCAGGCAUCCAGCUCUGUAUGCUUUCGUUUUGCACUUCUUAACCGGAAGUCUCGAGGCCGGUGUAACCGAACAUUUUCAACGAUCCUUGCUUGAUGUAAUUCGUAAUUUAAUACUGUUAUUAAACAUUUCGACAUUUUUCUUAUCUGAUAAUAAAAAAGACAACAAACUCUUCAGAUGUGGGAAGAUA